Non-coding RNA from Gymnothorax javanicus (giant moray), 72 nucleotides. The record is from the annotation of a GenBank genome assembly. NCBI's taxonomy places the organism in Eukaryota, Metazoa, Chordata, Actinopteri, Anguilliformes, Muraenidae.
GGCAGGGUGGUGCAGUGGUUAGCACUGCCGCCUCACAUGAAGAAGGUUGUAGGUUUGAAUCCGGCCUUUCCG